AUUGAACGCUGGCGGCAUGCCUUACACAUGCAAGUCGAACGGUAACAGGUCUUCGGAUGCUGACGAGUGGCGAACGGGUGAGUAAUACAUCGGAACGUGCCUAGUAGUGGGGGAUAACUACUCGAAAGAGUGGCUAAUACCGCAUGAGAUCUACGGAUGAAAGCAGGGGAUCGCAAGACCUUGUGCUACUAGAGCGGCCGAUGGCAGAUUAGGUAGUUGGUGGGAUAAAAGCUUACCAAGCAGACGAUCUGUAGCUGGUCUGAGAGGACGAUCAUCCACCCUGGGACUGAGAAACGGCCCAGACUCCUACGGGAGGCAGCAGUGGGGAAUUUUGGACAAUGGGCGCAAGCCUGAUCCAGCAAUGCCGCGUGCAGGAUGAAGGCCUUCGGGUUGUAAACUGCUUUUGUACGGAACGAAAAGCCCCGGGUUAAUACCCUGGGGUCAUGACGGUACCGUAAGAAUAAGCACCGGCUAACUACGUGCCAGCAGCCGCCGUAA
RNAcentral lists this ribosomal RNA (498 nucleotides) under uncultured bacterium. RNAcentral describes it as "partial 16S ribosomal RNA". It matches the Rfam family "Bacterial small subunit ribosomal RNA", at positions 30 to 523 of the family's 1533-position model. The record is from RNAcentral.